This 326-nucleotide ribosomal RNA is filed under the name uncultured microorganism. RNAcentral describes it as "bacterial SSU rRNA". It matches the Rfam family "Archaeal small subunit ribosomal RNA", at positions 330 to 655 of the family's 1478-position model. The record is from RNAcentral.
GUGCACCAGGCGAGAAUACUUUACAAUGUGCGAAAGCACGAUAAGGGAACUCUGGAGUGCCUCCUAAGGAGGCUGUUCAGGUGUCUAAAAAGCACCUGAAGGAAGGGCUGGGUAAGACCGGUGCCAGCCGCCGCGGUAACACCGGCAGCCCAAGUGGUAGCCACGUUUAUUGGGUCUAAAGCGUCCGUAGCCGGCUGGGUAAGUUCCUUGGGAAAUUUGGCUGCUUAACAGUCAAGCUUUUCAGGGAAUACUGCCCGGGCUUGGGGACCCGGGAGAGGUCAGAGGUACUCCGAGGGGUAGGGGUGAAAUCCAUUAAUCCUUGGGGG